AUUGUUAAGCCUUUGCUAUAUGUUUUUCAUCGCAGAGUCUUGUAGCUCUAUUUCAAAGAUCUAUGGAUGUACCCGUUCUGGUGUUCAACCUGAUAUUGAUGUGUGAUCAACGGGAAGAUGAGGGUGCAGCUGAAUCAUGUGUGGCUCCGACAGCACGCGGGAGUCGUAUCCACUGGGGCGCAAGCCGAGGGAACGAACCAGAGCGGCGAGCUUGACCUGGGUUUCUUCUCCUCCAGAUGAGCAGCCGGUCCGCUUGACCUGGGUCUCUUCUCCUCCAGAUGAGCAGCCGGUCAUAAGUCGCAUGGUGGUGCUAGACUGGCCCUUGUGCUCCUUCUCAGCUGGGAAUGGGCAAAACGGUCUCCCCUGCUCUCCCACUGGUAUAUUGAUGCUAGCAAGCGCAAUGAUUUGAUGAUAUGCAAUGACACAUAUUGCUUGAUCGACGCGAUCCUUUUUAUGAUCAUGGACGAUGAAAAACUUUAUGGUGGCGACUAGCGGAAAACUUGAAUGGCAACACAACCGGGAAGGAGCUGCUCAGCUGAGCGUCUGCCAAGGCUGCUUCCAUCAGCAACCGUAUAUAAUUUCAGCUUCACGGUGUGUGGGCAUGCUCAAUUCUGCGGAGCACAUCACUACAACCUGGAGAGUUCCAAACACGGUUUACAUUUCAUGCUGUUACAGUCACGCGGUUCAGUAGAUGCUUCUCCAAGUAGUAAGAAACAGGGAUCUCGCCGGGAUAAUACUGCAUCUGCAGUUCAGGGAUCCCAGUGGGUGUCACCGGGAUAAUACUGCAUCUCCCUGAAUUUAUGGAAGUUUCCUUUUCUUUUGCUUUUAAAUUAUAAUGUGCACUUCAUUGCGCAGGAUGGAACUGAGCACGCAGUCAGAAUAUUUUGUACUACCAUUUAGAUUUACACAAAUGUGAUAAGGUUUUUCAGAGUUUAAUUUUCUAGGGCUAUAGUUGAUGCUAAACCCUUCUAGAAUAAGAUGGACAAAGUUCAGACCACUCAUGAAAAGUAUAUUCAUAUUAACAUUAAGAUUUA
Molecule: long non-coding RNA, 1034 nt
Organism: Lolium perenne
Lineage: Eukaryota; Viridiplantae; Streptophyta; Magnoliopsida; Poales; Poaceae
Source: RefSeq, a predicted model, not a curated record